UUAUCUCUUAGCCCAAACUUUAUUUUGAAGAUCCUAUAUUGACUCUCUCCAUUUAAAUAAGUGAGACACAAAUGAAAUGACAUAUUUGGGUCUUUCUCUAUAGAAGAAGGGAGCCCAAACCCAACAAAUCUCCCACUCACAACUAUGUGAAGGAAAACGCCAAACUGGAGAUAUCUCAACAAGCUUCAAAUUUCUCUCUU
This 200-nucleotide long non-coding RNA is filed under the name Lathyrus oleraceus (garden pea). Its description in RNAcentral is "Pisum sativum (pea) long non-coding RNA (PSAT_LNC005389)". The record is from RNAcentral. Lineage: Eukaryota; Viridiplantae; Streptophyta; Magnoliopsida; Fabales; Fabaceae.